CAGCCGCCACGGUAAUACGAUGGGUGCAAGCGUUAAUCGGAAUUACUGGGCGUAAAGCGUGCGUAGGCGGUGAGUUAAGUCUGCUGUGAAAUCCCCGGGCUCAACCUGGGAAUGGCAGUGGAUACUGGCUCGCUAGAGUGUGUCAGAGGAUGGUGGAAUUCCCGGUGUAGCGGUGAAAUGCGUAGAGAUCGGGAGGAACAUCAGUGGCGAAGGCGGCCAUCUGGGACAACACUGACGCUGAGGCACGAGAGCGUGGGGAGCAAACAGGAUUAGAUACCCCCGUAGUCCCUGUCUCUUAUAC
Molecule: ribosomal RNA, 301 nt
Filed under: uncultured bacterium
Lineage: Bacteria
Description: partial 16S ribosomal RNA
Rfam family: Bacterial small subunit ribosomal RNA
Source: RNAcentral